UGGGGAAUAUUGGACAAUGGGCGAAAGCCUGAUCCAGCCAUGCCGCGUGUGUGAAGAAGGUCUUCGGAUUGUAAAGCACUUUAAGUUGGGAGGAAGGGCAGUAAGUUAAUACCUUGCUGUUUUGACGUUACCGACAGAAUAAGCACCGGCUAAUUCUGUGUCAG
RNAcentral lists this ribosomal RNA (164 nucleotides) under uncultured bacterium. RNAcentral describes it as "partial 16S rRNA". It matches the Rfam family "Bacterial small subunit ribosomal RNA", at positions 355 to 511 of the family's 1533-position model. The record is from RNAcentral.